Molecule: ribosomal RNA, 837 nt
Filed under: Paeniglutamicibacter antarcticus
Lineage: Bacteria; Bacillati; Actinomycetota; Actinomycetes; Micrococcales; Micrococcaceae
Description: bacterial SSU rRNA
Rfam family: Bacterial small subunit ribosomal RNA
Source: RNAcentral
UGCUUGCACAGAUGAUUAGUGGCGAACGGGUGAGUAACACGUGAGUAACCUGCCCUUGACUCUGGGAUAAGCCUGGGAAACUGGGUCUAAUACUGGAUAUGCACCGUGGACCGCAUGGUUCUUGGUGGAAAGAUUUUAUUGGUCAAGGAUGGACUCGCGGCCUAUCAGCUUGUUGGUGAGGUAAUGGCUCACCAAGGCGACGACGGGUAGCCGGCCUGAGAGGGUGACCGGCCACACUGGGACUGAGACACGGCCCAGACUCCUACGGGAGGCAGCAGUGGGGAAUAUUGCACAAUGGGCGAAAGCCUGAUGCAGCGACGCCGCGUGAGGGAUGACGGCCUUCGGGUUGUAAACCUCUUUCAGUAGGGAAGAAGCGAAAGUGACGGUACCUGCAGAAGAAGCGCCGGCUAACUACGUGCCAGCAGCCGCGGUAAUACGUAGGGCGCAAGCGUUAUCCGGAAUUAUUGGGCGUAAAGAGCUCGUAGGCGGUUUGUCGCGUCUAUCGUGAAAGUCCGAGGCUCAACCUCGGAUCUGCGGUGGGUACGGGCAGACUAGAGUGAUGUAGGGGAGACUGGAAUUCCUGGUGUAGCGGUGAAAUGCGCAGAUAUCAGGAGGAACACCGAUGGCGAAGGCAGGUCUCUGGGCAUUAACUGACGCUGAGGAGCGAAAGCAUGGGGAGCGAACAGGAUUAGAUACCCUGGUAGUCCAUGCCGUAAACGUUGGGCACUAGGUGUGGGGGACAUUCCACGUUUUCCGCGCCGUAGCUAACGCAUUAAGUGCCCCGCCUGGGGAGUACGGCCGCAAGGCUAAAACUCAAAGGAAUUGACGGGGGCCCGC